GGCUGGUCCGAUGGUAGUGGGUUAUCAGAACCUAUUAACAUUAGUAUCACUAAAGUUGGUAUACAACCCCCCACUGCUAAAUUUGGCUGGCUUAAA
Molecule: Y RNA, 96 nt
Organism: Callithrix jacchus (white-tufted-ear marmoset)
Lineage: Eukaryota; Metazoa; Chordata; Mammalia; Primates; Cebidae
Rfam family: Y RNA
About the family: Y RNAs are components of the Ro ribonucleoprotein particle (Ro RNP), in association with Ro60 and La proteins.
Source: Ensembl